CAGUCGCCACGGGAACACGGAGGGUGCAAGCGUUAAUCGGAAUUACUGGGCGUAAAGCGCACGCAGGCGGUCUGACAAGUCAGAUGUGAAAUCCCCGGGCUUAACCUGGGAACUGCAUUUGAAACUGUCAGGCUGGAGUCUUGUAGAGGGGGGUAGAAUUCCAGGUGUAGCGGUGAAAUGCGUAGAGAUCUGGAGGAAUACCGGUGGCGAAGGCGGCCCCCUGGACAAAGACUGACGCUCAGGUGCGAAAGCGUGGGGAGCAAACAGGAUUAGAUACCCGUGUAGUCCCUGUCUCUUAUAC
RNAcentral lists this ribosomal RNA (301 nucleotides) under uncultured bacterium. RNAcentral's name for it is "partial 16S ribosomal RNA". It matches the Rfam family "Bacterial small subunit ribosomal RNA", at positions 509 to 807 of the family's 1533-position model. The record is from RNAcentral.